Xenorhabdus vietnamensis is the source of this 102-nucleotide non-coding RNA. The record is from Rfam. Lineage: Bacteria; Pseudomonadati; Pseudomonadota; Gammaproteobacteria; Enterobacterales; Morganellaceae.
CUUUAACAAUCCGGAACAAGCUGAAAAUUUGAAACACCCAGUCCCAGUCGUGAAGACGGGAUUGGGGAGUCUCUCAAAACUCCAGUCCGAAGACACCUUCGG